UACGUAGGUGGCAAGCGUUGUCCGGAAUUAUUGGGCGUAAAGCGCGCGCAGGCGGCCUCUUAAGUCUGAUGUGAAAAGCCCCCCGGCUCAACCGGGGAGGGCCAUUGGAAACUGGGAGGCUUGAGUAUAGGAGAGAAGAGUGGAAUUCCACGUGUAGCGGUGAAAUGCGUAGAGAUGUGGAGGAACACCAGUGGCGAAGGCGACUCUUUGGCCUAUAACUGACGCUGAGGCGCGAAAGCGUGGGGAGCGAACAGG
This 255-nucleotide ribosomal RNA is filed under the name uncultured bacterium. RNAcentral's name for it is "partial 16S ribosomal RNA". It matches the Rfam family "Bacterial small subunit ribosomal RNA", at positions 524 to 776 of the family's 1533-position model. The record is from RNAcentral.